This 792-nucleotide long non-coding RNA is filed under the name Amborella trichopoda. Its description in RNAcentral is "long non-coding RNA (ATRI_LNC005181)". Lineage: Eukaryota; Viridiplantae; Streptophyta; Magnoliopsida; Amborellales; Amborellaceae. The record is from RNAcentral.
AUCAUACAAGCAACAAGUAAAUAAUCGGAAAAGUAUAAAAAGAGACCAUUUACUUUUAGCUCAAGAAGAUCGCAACCGCCCAUCAAACUUUAAACCGGGUGGUUGUAAGUGUGUUAUUAACGAGACUGAAAGUUUAAAAAAGAUUAUCAAACUUUAUAACUUACCCCAAACCAUCGAAUUUGACAUCUUAUCGCUAAGAGUCUUUAUGACCCCCUUGUAAUAAUGAUAAAAAAUUUCAUUCUAUAUGAUCCCUAGAUGACCACUCCAAACUAUUUUUAUUACAACAAAAAAUGGCAACUAAGAACUGGGAUAGCUUGAUAAUAUGAAAAAAUAAAAAAUAACUUAAAAUUCUUCCAUUAAAAUGCAUUGGACAAAAAACUACAAACUACAAAUACACAAAAUCAGAUAUUACACAAGUAAAAGCUACAAUUGUUUGAGAGAGAUUAGGGAGAAUUUGGGAAAGAGAAUGAGAUAGGGACCGAGAGAGAAUUAAGGGAGAGAGGGACAGUACGAGAGGGAUAUUGUGGAGAGAGGGGGAAAAUGAGAGGGAGAGGGGCAAGAGACACAUAGGAAGGGAAGGAGGGGCAAAGAGAGAGAACCCUAAAGGCUAAACCCUAUGUGCAAUUGGGGGUUAGAGAAGGAGAGGUGGAAGAGCUUGAGGUGGCUAGGGCAACAGUGGGGCUUCAUGGGGGUGUUUUUUCUCUGUGUGCGGUUUGUAUAGAGCCAAAGCUCUAAACAAUGAAACUGUAGUGCCGAGAGAUGCGGCUUCAAUAUUGAAAAUCUUCUUAACAC